GAGAGAAUGAGGAGAGGACACCGCUAGGGGCCAGUCACUUCCAUGGAGUAAGAAUGGAGUACUUCUGUGGGUUGAAGCUGGAGUCUUGUCCACGUUGAGUGUGGGGAAUGCUUGGUGCCCAGCUGUUGGUGUCACUUGAGAGAUGUGGUCUUCCUGGAGAAAGCAGGUGGCUGAGGGUUGCCUUUCAAGGUUGUACUGGGCUCCAGUUUGUGCCUCUGCAGCUGCCUCCUAUCUGCCAUGAGGUGAACAGAUCUUCAGCUGCCACGAUGGUCUGACUGAGUACACGGAGCCAAGCACGCACGGGCAGAACCCGUCUGAAACUUUGAACCAGAAGACAUUUCCCUCCCUUAAACUGGGCCGCCAGAUAUUUUGUCACAGGGAUGGGGAAAGUAACUAAAGCUGUGGAAUUUAGCCAAGUGCCUACUUCAAGUAAGACACCACUGAAGAAUAAACAUUAGCACUGACAAUACCCAGAGAGCCAGGUGGGCGCCAGGAACUGCAUAGUUGGCCGUGUUUUUCUUUUGGAGUCUAGAAUAUGAAUGUUCAAAAAAAUAUAAUUAAUCCAGUCUGAUUCACAUAUAUCUGUUUCUAAUACGGCACUAAUGGGUAGUUUGCAGCCCCUGAGAGGACCCAGCUUUUGUGGAUUCCUGUAAACCUGCGGUCAUCUACCUUGACUCUGAACGCACUCAUCAAGCGUGGGUCAAUACCACUAAGAGGAAAGUUCUCAGUUUUGAUUUCUCUCAGACCCCUUGCCCAUCCGCUGCCAACCUUCUCCUAUCUGUGCCAAACUUUCACCUAAAGAUAAAAAGAAAAUACUUUUAAUUCGUUACAGUUCAUUAAAAUGAAAAUAAAAUUUAUUUUGCAUCAAAAUG
Myodes glareolus (Bank vole) is the source of this 872-nucleotide non-coding RNA. The record is from RefSeq and is a predicted model, not a curated record. NCBI's taxonomy places the organism in Eukaryota, Metazoa, Chordata, Mammalia, Rodentia, Cricetidae.